RNAcentral lists this ribosomal RNA (698 nucleotides) under uncultured bacterium. Its description in RNAcentral is "bacterial SSU rRNA". It matches the Rfam family "Bacterial small subunit ribosomal RNA", at positions 9 to 704 of the family's 1533-position model. The record is from RNAcentral.
AAGUUUGAUCCUGGCUCAGAUUGAACGCUGGCGGCAUGCCUUACACAUGCAAGUCGAACGGUAACAGGUCUUCGGACGCUGACGAGUGGCGAACGGGUGAGUAAUACAUCGGAACGUGCCCAGUCGUGGGGGAUAACUACUCGAAAGAGUAGCUAAUACCGCAUACGAUCUGAGGAUGAAAGCGGGGGACCUUCGGGCCUCGCGCGAUUGGAGCGGCCGAUGGCAGAUUAGGUAGUUGGUGGGAUAAAAGCUUACCAAGCCGACGAUCUGUAGCUGGUCUGAGAGGACGACCAGCCACACUGGGACUGAGACACGGCCCAGACUCCUACGGGAGGCAGCAGUGGGGAAUUUUGGACAAUGGGCGAAAGCCUGAUCCAGCAAUGCCGCGUGCAGGAUGAAGGCCUUCGGGUUGUAAACUGCUUUUGUACGGAACGAAAAAGCUCCUUCUAAUACAGGGGGCCCAUGACGGUACCGUAAGAAUAAGCACCGGCUAACUACGUGCCAGCAGCCGCGGUAAUACGUAGGGUGCGAGCGUUAAUCGGAAUUACUGGGCGUAAAGCGUGCGCAGGCGGUUAUGUAAGACAGAUGUGAAAUCCCCGGGCUCAACCUGGGAACUGCAUUUGUGACUGCAUGACUAGAGUACGGUAGAGGGGGAUGGAAUUCCGCGUGUAGCAGUGAAAUGCGUAGAUAUGCGGAGG